UUCCUCGCAUGCCUCUCCGGGCGGCCCAUCCACUAUAGCUGCUCAUAUCCAAUGAGCAUUUUUCACCGGGCGCCACCGGAAACCUUCCCGCGGCUCAUUGUGGAGAGCACAAGCAGAGCUGGGCGUCAUGAAUUAAAGAAAAGCCUGCAUUUACAAAUCUGAUCACCAAACCCCGCUMCAAGUGUGGUGUGGUUGGACCAGCGGCAGCAGAGCUGUUGCAGCGGAGAUGGUUUUGGACCCGGGUGAGGACUGUAUGGGAUCGGACAGACGUCGACGGGGUCGGAGGGAGCAGGCAGCACCACAGACCUGACGGGUCCAGAAACCAAGACCGGACCCUCGCAAAACCAUCACAACCGACAGCACCGGACUAAGAAAACACCAGCCCAGAGCCUCCGCAAAACCAC
Salvelinus sp. IW2-2015 is the source of this 404-nucleotide non-coding RNA. The record is from RefSeq and is a predicted model, not a curated record. Lineage: Eukaryota; Metazoa; Chordata; Actinopteri; Salmoniformes; Salmonidae.